UACAGAGGGUGCGAGCGUUAAUCGGAAUUACUGGGCGUAAAGCGCACGUAGGCGGCUUGGUAUGUCGGGUGUGAAAUCCCCGGGCUCAACCUGGGAACUGCAUCCGAAACUGCCUUGCUAGAGUAUGGGAGAGGGAAGUGGAAUUUCCGGUGUAGCGGUGAAAUGCGUAGAUAUCGGAAGGAACAUCAGUGGCGAAGGCGACUUCCUGGACCAAUACUGACGCUCAGGUGCGAAAGCGUAGGGAGCAAACAGG
RNAcentral lists this ribosomal RNA (253 nucleotides) under uncultured bacterium. Its description in RNAcentral is "partial 16S ribosomal RNA". It matches the Rfam family "Bacterial small subunit ribosomal RNA", at positions 524 to 776 of the family's 1533-position model. The record is from RNAcentral.